ACAAGUAUGAAGAGAAUGUCGGGAGAGGAAGUGGUGGCUAUGAGUCAGCAUGAGUCAUCUCGUUCCAAUGAGAAUGAAGGCUGAGGUGUGCGCCUUUUUUUUUUUUCCUUCUUAGUCGUGUGUACAUCAUUGGGAAUGGAGGGAAAUAAAUGACUGGAUGGUCGCUGCUUUUUAAGUUUCAAAUUGACAUUCCAGACAAGCGGUGCCUGAGCCCGUGCCUGUCUUCAGAUCUUCACAGCACAGUUCCUGGGAAGGUGGAGCCACCAGCCUCUCCCUGGCUCUGCCGACUUCCAGUUCUGGAACAAGAUGGUUAAACUCAUUUUUCCCUGCUCUGCUCCUCUAAAUACAACUAAGUACCUUGGAAACUAUUCAGCAGACAAUGAUAAAGGGCUCUGAAAGCUAGAAGAAAAGGUGUACUUGCAAGAAACCUCAGGACUUGAGUAACAGCAACAUGGAAAGGAGAAAGAGACUACCUACUGCAUUUCUGUCACUCGCUGAAAAGGACACUCUGUCAGAAAAUCUUCUAGCAAACUUCAAAGGGCAAAAUCACCCCUUGUUACUGAUAAAGCCCAGAGAGCUUCAGCAGCUAACAUUCCCUGGACAGGGCACAGCAAGGAUUUGAACCUAGGUCAGUCUGGCCAGAACACCCACAAGCUUUCCUUAACUCAGUGUGCUAUCUCCCCACGACUAGGUCACUACUGCUUUAUAAUCACCUUUGUAGCCACCAGUGGAUUUUGCUCAUCAGUAUUUUUCAGGCAAUUGAUACUUUAGAUAUUCAGCUGCAAGACGUAUGCAGUUUUCAUUGACAUCUUUUGGAGAAACUGACAAACCUGGACUUGACUUAAUGCCUUUGGAACCUUCCAAGAUGUUAUAUAACUCUAGAUAGAAGGCUGGGCCUCCAUGAUGUCAGGAAUGUUGCAUUCUUAUUUCCCCAUAGAUAAACCCAUUUGUCCACAAAGUCAAGGAGUCAGGCAGAGGCCCUUGCCAUGGGGCUUUUUAGGAUAAAGCAACAAGCCUGGACUUUGCUCUACAACAGGGUUUUGCAUAGGGAGUGGUAUGACCAGAUCCCUCAAGAAAGAAAGCUUAGAGACCAGGCCAGAGUCCACUGCAGUAGCCCAGUCAAGAGAGGAUGGUGACUUGGACUUGUAGUAGAGCCAGUUAGAAUGAAAGAAAUUGACACAUUCAGAAAUGGUUUUAGAGAUAGAGUCAAACUGGACCUGAUAAAGAACUAGAGAAGCGGAGUGAGGAUAAAGAGAAGAGCCAUGACUGACUCGGAAGAUUUUGUCUUGAAAAACUUGAGAACUCAAGACAGAGUGAAAUAAAAUCACAUGUGGGAAAAAUCUC
Molecule: long non-coding RNA, 1344 nt
Filed under: Homo sapiens (human)
Lineage: Eukaryota; Metazoa; Chordata; Mammalia; Primates; Hominidae
Description: HSALNT0305007
Source: RNAcentral